AACGCGAAGAACCUUACCUACUCUUGACAUCCACGGGAGCUAGCAGAGAUGCUGGUGUGCCUUCGGGAACCGUGAGACAGGUGCUGCAUGGCUGUCGUCAGCUCGUGUCGUGAGAUGUUGGGUUAAGUCCCGUAACGAGCGCAACCCUUAUCAUUAGUUGCCAUCGGGUAAAGCCGGGAACUCUAGUGAGACUGCCGGUGACAAACCGGAGGAAGGCGGGGACGACGUCAAGUCAUCAUGGCCCUUACGAGUAGGGCUACACGCGUGUUACAAUGGACGGUACAAAGGGCAGCGAAGCCGUGAGGUGGAGCGAAUCUUAGAAAGCCGUUCGUAGUCCGGAUUGGAGUCUGCAACUCGACUCCAUGAAGUUGGAAUCGCUAGUAAUCGUGGAUCAGAACGCCACGGUGAAUACGUUCCCGGGCCUUGUACACACCGGAGUGC
RNAcentral lists this ribosomal RNA (441 nucleotides) under uncultured bacterium. Its description in RNAcentral is "bacterial SSU rRNA". It matches the Rfam family "Bacterial small subunit ribosomal RNA", at positions 958 to 1398 of the family's 1533-position model. The record is from RNAcentral.